This 253-nucleotide ribosomal RNA is filed under the name uncultured bacterium. Its description in RNAcentral is "partial 16S ribosomal RNA". It matches the Rfam family "Bacterial small subunit ribosomal RNA", at positions 524 to 776 of the family's 1533-position model. The record is from RNAcentral.
UACAGAGGUCCCAAGCGUUGUUCGGAUUCACUGGGCGUAAAGAGCUCGUAGGCGGUUUGUCGCGUCGGUUGUGAAAGCCCGGGGCUUAACCCUGGGUCUGCAGUCGAUACGGGCAGGCUAGAGUUCGGUAGGGGAGACUGGAAUUCCUGGUGUAGCGGUGAAAUGCGCAGAUAUCAGGAGGAACACCGGUGGCGAAGGCGGGUCUCUGGGCCGAUACUGACGCUGAGGAGCGAAAGCGUGGGGAGCGAACAGG